Molecule: unclassified non-coding RNA, 349 nt
Filed under: soil metagenome
Description: partial contains 5.8S ribosomal RNA, internal transcribed spacer 2, and large subunit ribosomal RNA
Rfam family: 5.8S ribosomal RNA (bases 1-120)
Source: RNAcentral
GAUGAAGAACGCAGCGAAAUGCGAUAAGUAAUGUGAAUUGCAGAAUUCAGUGAACCAUCGAAUCUUUGAACGCACAUUGCGCCCGCCAGUAUUCUGGCGGGCAUGCCUGUCCGAGCGUCAUCUCAACCCUCGAGCCCCCCCGGGGGCUCGGCGUUGGGGACCGGCCCCGCCCCAGGGCGCGCCGCCCCCCAAAUCCAGUGGCGGUCUCGCUGUAGCCUCCCCUGCGUAGUAGCACACCUCGCACCGGAGCGCGGCGCGGCCACGCCGUUAAACCCCCCAUAUUUCUGAAUGUUGACCUCGGAUCAGGUAGGAAUACCCGCUGAACUUAAGCAUAUCAAUAAGCGGAGGA